UCGAGAAUCUUUCGCAAUGGGCGCAAGCCUGACGAAGCGACGCCGUGUGAGCGAAGAAGGCCUUCGGGUUGUAAAGCUCUUUCGCUAGGGAACAAGAAAGAUAGAUAAACAAUCUAUCAAUUUGAUGGUACUUGGUAAAGAAGCACCGGCUAACUCCGUGCCAGCAGCUGCGGUAAUACGGAGGGUGCAAGCAUUGAUCGGAAUUACUGGGCGUAAAGGGCGCGUAGGCGGCGAGAAAAGUCAGGUGUGAAAUUCCGAGGCUCAACUUCGGAGCUGCACUUGAAACUUUCUUGCUAGAGUACAGUUAGGGAAAACGGAAUUCCACGUGUAGCGGUGAAAUGCGUAGAUAUGUGGAAGAACACCGGUGGUGAAGACGGUUUUCUGGGCUGUUACUGACGCUGAGGCGCGAGAGCUAGGGGAGCAAACAGGAUUAGAUACCCUGGUAGUCCUAGCCUUAAACGAUGCAUACUAGAUGUA
RNAcentral lists this ribosomal RNA (477 nucleotides) under uncultured Chlamydiae bacterium. RNAcentral's name for it is "bacterial SSU rRNA". It matches the Rfam family "Bacterial small subunit ribosomal RNA", at positions 355 to 824 of the family's 1533-position model. Lineage: Bacteria; Pseudomonadati; Chlamydiota; Chlamydiia. The record is from RNAcentral.